AAAAUAGGAAUAAAAAAUCCGGAAGUAAAUCGAUAUACAUUGAGUGAAACCUUCCUUUUCUCCGGUUGAUGAUGUACGGAAUACUUGAUGGGGGUGGAAGGUAAACUGACAUUGAAAAUGAAUGUAGGUCACGGCCCCCAUUCG
Molecule: non-coding RNA, 144 nt
Organism: Caenorhabditis elegans
Lineage: Eukaryota; Metazoa; Nematoda; Chromadorea; Rhabditida; Rhabditidae
Source: Ensembl